GUCGACGAUUACUCCUACGGGAGGCAGCAGUGAGGAAUAUUGGUCAAUGGGCGAGAGCCUGAACCAGCCAAGUCGCGUGAAGGAAGAAGGAUCUAUGGUUCGUAAACUUCUUUUGCAGGGGAAUAAAGUGCAGGACGUGUCCUGUUUUGUAUGUACCCUGAGAAUAAGGAUCGGCUAACUCCGUGCCAGCAGCCGCGGUAAUAAUCUCUAGA
RNAcentral lists this ribosomal RNA (212 nucleotides) under uncultured Bacteroidota bacterium. RNAcentral's name for it is "uncultured Bacteroidetes bacterium partial 16S ribosomal RNA". It matches the Rfam family "Bacterial small subunit ribosomal RNA", at positions 325 to 532 of the family's 1533-position model. Lineage: Bacteria; Pseudomonadati; Bacteroidota. The record is from RNAcentral.